RNAcentral lists this ribosomal RNA (773 nucleotides) under uncultured bacterium. RNAcentral's name for it is "bacterial SSU rRNA". It matches the Rfam family "Bacterial small subunit ribosomal RNA", at positions 1 to 764 of the family's 1533-position model. The record is from RNAcentral.
UCGGCCGAUCGCCUUGAGUUGAUCAUGGCUCGAUUGAACGCUGGCGGAAUGCUUUACACAUGCAAGUCGAACGGCAGCACGGGGGCAACCCUGGUGGCGAGUGGCGAACGGGUGAGUAAUACAUCGGAACGUGCCCAGUCGUGGGGGAUAACUACGCGAAAGCGUAGCUAAUACCGCAUACGAUCUACGGAUGAAAGCGGGGGAUCGCAAGACCUCGCGCGAUUGGAGCGGCCGAUGGCAGAUUAGGUAGUUGGUGGGGUAAAGGCUCACCAAGCCUUCGAUCUGUAGCUGGUCUGAGAGGACGACCAGCCACACUGGGACUGAGACACGGCCCAGACUCCUACGGGAGGCAGCAGUGGGGAAUUUUGGACAAUGGGCGCAAGCCUGAUCCAGCCAUUCCGCGUGCAGGAUGAAGGCCCUCGGGUUGUAAACUGCUUUUGUACGGAACGAAACGGCGCUUUCUAAUACAGGGCGCUAAUGACGGUACCGUAAGAAUAAGCACCGGCUAACUACGUGCCAGCAGCCGCGGUAAUACGUAGGGUGCAAGCGUUAAUCGGAAUUACUGGGCGUAAAGCGUGCGCAGGCGGUGAUGUAAGACAGAUGUGAAAUCCCCGGGCUCAACCUGGGAACUGCAUUUGUGACUGCAUCGCUGGAGUGCGGCAGAGGGGGAUGGAAUUCCGCGUGUAGCAGUGAAAUGCGUAGAUAUGCGGAGGAACACCGAUGGCGAAGGCAAUCCCCUGGGCCUGCACUGACGCUCAUGCACGAAAGCGUGG